GACGAACGCUGGCGGCGUGCCUAAUACAUGCAAGUUGAGCGAUGAAGAUUGGUGCUUGCACCAAUUUGAAGAGCAGCGAACGGGUGAGUAACGCGUGGGGAAUCUGCCUUUGAGCGGGGGACAACAUUUGGAAACGAAUGCUAAUACCGCAUAACAACUUUAAACAUAAGUUUUAAGUUUGAAAGAUGCAAUUGCAUCACUCAAAGAUGAUCCCGCGUUGUAUUAGCUAGUUGGUGAGGUAAAGGCUCACCAAGGCGAUGAUACAUAGCCGACCUGAGAGGGUGAUCGGCCACAUUGGGACUGAGACACGGCCCAAACUCCUACGGGAGGCAGCAGUAGGGAAUCUUCGGCAAUGGACGAAAGUCUGACCGAGCAACGCCGCGUGAGUGAAGAAGGGUUUCGGAUCGUAAAACUCUGUUGGUAGAGAAGAACGUUGGUGAGAGUGGAAUGCUCAUCAAGUGACGGUAACUACCCAGAAAGGGACGGCUAACUACGUG
This 497-nucleotide ribosomal RNA is filed under the name uncultured bacterium. RNAcentral describes it as "partial 16S ribosomal RNA". It matches the Rfam family "Bacterial small subunit ribosomal RNA", at positions 28 to 507 of the family's 1533-position model. The record is from RNAcentral.